This 301-nucleotide ribosomal RNA is filed under the name uncultured bacterium. RNAcentral's name for it is "partial 16S ribosomal RNA". It matches the Rfam family "Bacterial small subunit ribosomal RNA", at positions 509 to 807 of the family's 1533-position model. The record is from RNAcentral.
CAGUCGCCGCGGGAAUACGAAGGGUGCAAGCGUUACUAGGAAUUACUGGGCGUAAAGCGUGCGUAGGUGGUGGUUUAAGUCCGUUGUGAAAGCCCUGGGCUCAACCUGGGAAUUGCAGUGGAUACUGGGUCACUAGAGUGUGGUAGAGGAUAGUGGAAUUUCCGGUGUAGCAGUGAAAUGCGUAGAGAUCGGAAGGAACAUCUGUGGCGAAGGCGACUAUCUGGGCCAACACUGACACUGAGGCACGAAAGCGUGGGGAGCAAACAGGAUUAGAUACCCCAGUAGUCCCUGUCUCUUAUAC